RNAcentral lists this ribosomal RNA (1016 nucleotides) under Salmonella enterica subsp. enterica serovar Typhimurium. RNAcentral's name for it is "partial 23S ribosomal RNA". It matches the Rfam family "Bacterial large subunit ribosomal RNA", at positions 1918 to 2925 of the family's 2925-position model. The record is from RNAcentral. Lineage: Bacteria; Pseudomonadati; Pseudomonadota; Gammaproteobacteria; Enterobacterales; Enterobacteriaceae.
CCCCGGUAAACGGCGGCCGUAACUAUAACGGUCCUAAGGUAGCGAAAUUCCUUGUCGGGUAAGUUCCGACCUGCACGAAUGGCGUAAUGAUGGCCAGGCUGUCUCCACCCGAGACUCAGUGAAAUUGAACUCGCUGUGAAGAUGCAGUGUACCCGCGGCAAGACGGAAAGACCCCGUGAACCUUUACUAUAGCUUGACACUGAACAUUGAGCCUUGAUGUGUAGGAUAGGUGGGAGGCUUUGAAGUGUGGACGCCAGUCUGCAUGGAGCCGACCUUGAAAUACCACCCUUUAAUGUUUGAUGUUCUAACGUGGACCCGUAAUCCGGGUUGCGGACAGUGUCUGGUGGGUAGUUUGACUGGGGCGGUCUCCUCCUAAAGAGUAACGGAGGAGCACGAAGGUUGGCUAAUCCUGGUCGGACAUCAGGAGGUUAGUGCAAUGGCAUAAGCCAGCUUGACUGCGAGCGUGACGGCGCGAGCAGGUGCGAAAGCAGGUCAUAGUGAUCCGGUGGUUCUGAAUGGAAGGGCCAUCGCUCAACGGAUAAAAGGUACUCCGGGGAUAACAGGCUGAUACCGCCCAAGAGUUCAUAUCGACGGCGGUGUUUGGCACCUCGAUGUCGGCUCAUCACAUCCUGGGGCUGAAGUAGGUCCCAAGGGUAUGGCUGUUCGCCAUUUAAAGUGGUACGCGAGCUGGGUUUAGAACGUCGUGAGACAGUUCGGUCCCUAUCUGCCGUGGGCGCUGGAGAACUGAGGGGGGCUGCUCCUAGUACGAGAGGACCGGAGUGGACGCAUCACUGGUGUUCGGGUUGUCAUGCCAAUGGCACUGCCCGGUAGCUAAAUGCGGAAGAGAUAAGUGCUGAAAGCAUCUAAGCACGAAACUUGCCCCGAGAUGAGUUCUCCCUGAGACUUAGAGUCUCCUGAAGGAACGUUGAAAACGACGACGUUGAUAGGCCGGGUGUGUAAGCGCAGCGAUGCGUUGAGCUAACCGGUACUAAUGAACCGUGAGGCUUAACCUUACA